GACGAACGCUGGCGGCGUGCUUAACACAUGCAAGUCGAACGGAAAGGCCCUGCUUUUGUGUGGUUCUCGAGUGGCGAACGUGUGAGUAACACGUGAGUAACCUUCCCUUUACUUUGUGAUAACUUCAGGAAACUGGUGCUAAUACCUGAUAGGAGCUCCUGCUGCAUGGUGGGGUUUGGAAAGUUUCGGCGGUUGUGGAUGUACUCGCGGCUUAUCAGCUUGUUGGUGGGGUAGUGGCUUACCAAGGCUUUGAAGGGUAGCCUGCCUGAGAGGGUGAACGGCCACAUUGGGACUGAGAGACGGACCAGACUCGUACGGGAGGCAGCAGUGGGGAAUAUUGCACAAUGGGCGGAAGCCUGAUGCAGAAACGCCGCGUGCGGGAUGACGGCCUUCGGGUUGUAAACCGCUUUAGCCUGUGACGAAGCGUGAGUGACGGUAAUGGGUAAAGAAGCACCGGCUAACUACGUG
This 468-nucleotide ribosomal RNA is filed under the name uncultured bacterium. Its description in RNAcentral is "partial 16S ribosomal RNA". It matches the Rfam family "Bacterial small subunit ribosomal RNA", at positions 28 to 507 of the family's 1533-position model. The record is from RNAcentral.